UACGUAGGGUCCGAGCGUUGUCCGGAAUUAUUGGGCGUAAAGGGCUCGUAGGCGGUUUGUCGCGUCGGGAGUGAAAACCCAGGGCUUAACCCUGGGCCUGCUUCCGAUACGGGCAGACUAGAGGUAUGCAGGGGAGAACGGAAUUCCUGGUGUAGCGGUGAAAUGCGCAGAUAUCAGGAGGAACACCGGUGGCGAAGGCGGGUCUCUGGGCCGUAACUGACGCUGAGGAGCGAAAGCGUGGGGAGCGAACAGG
Molecule: ribosomal RNA, 253 nt
Filed under: uncultured bacterium
Lineage: Bacteria
Description: partial 16S ribosomal RNA
Rfam family: Bacterial small subunit ribosomal RNA
Source: RNAcentral